ACUGGCCCCGCCUCUUCCUCUCGGUCCCAUAUUGAACUCGAGUUGGAAGAGGCGAGUCCGGUCUCAAAAUGGAGGUAAAACCGCCGCCCGGUCGCCCCCAGCCCGACUCCGGCCGUCGCCGCCGCCGCCGGGGGGAGGAGGGCCAUGAUCCAAAGGAACCAGAGCAGCUAAGGAAGCUGUUUAUUGGUGGUCUGAGCUUUGAAACUACAGAUGAUAGUUUAAGAGAACAUUUUGAGAAAUGGGGCACACUCACAGAUUGUGUGGUAAUGAGAGACCCCCAAACAAAACGUUCCAGGGGCUUUGGCUUUGUGACCUACUCUUGUGUUGAAGAGGUGGAUGCAGCAAUGUGUGCUCGACCACACAAGGUUGAUGGGCGUGUAGUGGAACCAAAGAGAGCUGUUUCUAGAGAGGAUUCUGUAAAGCCUGGUGCCCAUCUAACAGUGAAAAAAAUUUUUGUUGGUGGUAUUAAAGAAGAUACAGAAGAAUAUAAUUUGAGAGACUACUUUGAAAAGUAUGGCAAGAUUGAAACCAUAGAAGUUAUGGAAGAUAGGCAGAGUGGAAAAAAGAGAGGAUUUGCUUUUGUAACUUUUGAUGAUCAUGAUACAGUUGAUAAAAUUGUUGUUCAGAAAUACCACACUAUUAAUGGGCAUAAUUGUGAAGUGAAAAAGGCCCUUUCUAAACAAGAGAUGCAGUCUGCUGGAUCACAGAGAGGUCGUGGAGGUGGAUCUGGCAACUUUAUGGGUCGUGGAGGAAACUUUGGAGGUGGUGGAGGUAAUUUGGCCGUGGUGGAAACUUUGGUGGAAGAGGAGGUUAUGGUGGUGGAGGUGGUGGCAGCAGAGGUAGUUAUGGAGGAGGUGAUGGUGGAUAUAAUGGAUUUGGAGGUGAUGGUGGCAACUAUGGCGGUGGCCCUGGUUAUAGUAGUAGAGGAGGCUAUGGUGGUGGUGGACCAGGAUAUGGGAACCAAGGUGGUGGAUAUGGUGGUGGUGGAGGAGGUUACGAUGGUUACAAUGAAGGAGGAAAUUUUGGUGGCGGUAACUAUGGUGGUGGUGGGAACUAUAAUGAUUUUGGAAAUUAUAGUGGACAACAGCAGUCAAAUUAUGGACCCAUGAAGGGGGGAAGUUUUGGUGGAAGAAGCUCUGGCAGUCCCUAUGGUGGUGGUUAUGGAUCUGGUGGUGGAAGUGGUGGAUAUGGUAGCAGAAGGUUUUAAAAACAGCAGAAAAAGGGCUACAGUUCUUAGCAGGAGAGAGAGCGAGGAGUUGUCAGGAAAGCUGCAGGUUACUUUGAGACAGUCGUCCCAAAUGCAUUAGAGGAACUGUAAAAAUCUGCCACAGGAGGAACGAUGAUCCAUAGUCAGAAAAGUUACUGCAGCUUAAACAGGAAACCCUUCUUGUUCAGGACUGUCAUAGCCACAGUUUGCAAAAAGUGCAGCUAUUGAUUAAUGCAAUGUAGUGUCAAUUAGAUGUACAUUCCUGAGGUCUUUUAUCUGUUGUAGCUUUGUCUUUUUCUUUUUCUUUUCAUUACAUCAGGUAUAUUGCCCUGUAAAUUGUGGUAGUGGUACCAGGAAUAAAAAAUUAAGGAAUUUUUAACUUUUCAAUAUUUGUGUAGUUCAGUUUUUCUACAUUUUAGUACAGAAACUUUAACAAAAUGCAGUUUUGAAGGUGUUUCCUUGUGAGUUAACAAGUAAAGAUCAUUGUUAAUUACUAUUUUGUAUGAAUUUUGCUAAAGUUAACUGUAAAGAAACACCUACUGACUUGCAGUUUAAGGGGAACCUAUUCUCCCCAUUUCCAAACCAUGAUAUGAAUGGGCGCUGACAUGUGGAGAGAAUAGAUAUUUGUAUGUUUGCAAUGUGUGUUUUAGAUACUUAGGAUUGGGUAUUUAAAUUAGCAUAUUUGUGAAUUUAAUAGCAUUAAGAUAACCUUCAAAUGAAAAGAAUCUCAAAAUUUCUAUUUGGUUUUUGUGCAUUUUCUUUCAAAAUGUAAUGAUUUUAGUAUGUUAGACUUGCUGAGUCCUGGGUGUUACAUCUCCAUUCUACAUUUACCUUGGUCACAUUUAAACUGCUACCAUAGUUUUGGGGUAUACAACAUGUCUACUGCCUCUGUUUAGAUUCUGGAAUAGGGUGGUAGAUGUUUUCCCUCUCCACCUUAAAAACUACUCUUAAUUUUUGAUACUUGACCACUAUGUUUGUUACUACGUUUGAACAAAUUAGUGGUCAUCUGAUUUUGUUCUCUUUUUCAUUUUAAACCCCAGAAUUCCAUAAGUUGAGUUACUUUCCUUGGUUUACUUAUCUUUCCCCUCACCCCGCCAACACAUACAUGUUUUCAAGCAAGAGAAUAGAAAACAGUUCAUUGUUCAAUUUUUCACUGGCUGGCAUGCUUAGCUGUUUGUACCCUACACAUUUUGCUGAAUAAAACCAAGGAUAGUUUAGGUAUAGUUGUCCGAAAUAACUUAAUGCAGCAGAAAUGUAGCACAGUUGCUUAGUACAAGAUUCUCACUUCCCAAAGACCUGAAUUAAAAUUUGCAGAGUCCAAGUUCUUAAAUUCCCAAAGAACACACUGUUACUCCUUAUGUAUAUUUUUACCUAAAUUGUGUUGGUGUGACUUACCAAUUUGUUUAGAAGUUGCUGGUAGAAAAGAAUUUUAGGUAAUAAGGUCAUAUAUAUAAAAAAUGUCUGUUUGCGCCAGCUAGUGCUUACAAUUUCACUCAAGCCCUAAGUAUGUGCCCUGCUGUUACUCUUUCUUUAGUAGUUGAACAUUGGAUUCAAGAUUUUUACUUGGUUUAUAAAGUACUAAGCAAAACAAGCAAUAAAAAGGGGAAUGGGGCGUGCUAGUGUUUGAAUAUGCUCUCUUGUUGCUCUAAUUCUGUGCCUCUGUGCAUUAUUAAUAUUUGGAUGCAUGCAAUGCCAGCAUGGAAAUUGGUCUUCACAAAUACUGCAGUUUUCCAGAAAACACUCACAAACCAAUAAAUGUAACAGACAACAUUCCAUUUGUUAAUGGACAUAUGUGAAUAAGCAGUGUAGAAAAUAGGCUUAUAUUAGAAAAUGGUUAAGUCCUUAAUAACUUCAAGUGUGGUUAUAUAAAUACAUGGACACUGUCAAUGUUCAAAACUUAAACUUGGGUACCUGGUCAAAAUAAUGCUUGGGAAACAUUCUAUUAAAAUCAAGCUAAAUUGUCUCAAGUUCUUUUAUUCAUAUAAUAAAGGUUGAAGGAAUGGGGAAGAUUAACAUUUCCUGUUUUUAUGUUUGUGACAUUGUUUGACACAACCUUGACAGUAUCCUUUAAUGGUAUAUGAGGUUAAUUGUUUUGUUAACCAACUUCUUAUGUUCUGGAACUAGUAGUUUAAUAAGUAAAAAUAUUUUUCAGUAAGUGGAUGUUUACAACCUAUAAGCAGGUGAAAUUUGUAUGUGACCUGUUUAUAAGUUGUAUUAGUUUAGCUUUUCUGAACAAUGUGGAAAAGUAAGCCAUGAGGAGAGCGAUAUAACCAGCUUUAAAGGACAAACUGUGCUUUUUAAGCACAGUGUGGAUCAAAGGAAACUCUCACUAAGACAGGACUUCAGCAGCCUUUUUGAGUAUGGACAAGUCAGCAUAAAUAAAGAAUGAGAAGGCAGCAGCAAGAGCUUCAACUACAGAGAAGUGAAGGCAUAAGAUACUAUGAUGAUAGUGAGCAACUUUCCAAAAAGCUAGUUAAAUCUGCUUAUUACAACUGAAAUAUCGAAGAAAGUCUAGCAGGAAGGAGUUCUUCGCCUUUUGGAACAUCAAUGAGAGAUAGUUGCCACAGUCACUAGGUCUAGCAUUUAGACCUGCAAGGAAGGGCAAUAAGCAUUAGGUAAGGCUUGAAUUUGAAUUUUUUCACUAAUUAAAGAGUAAUUUUUUGUAAAGCAAGGUAAGAGUAAUCUUUUUGAUUUGCAGGUUGAAUGAGAACCCUACUUGCCUAAAUGAGGAAUGUCUUUCCUACCAUCUUAAAUACGAAGGUUUCUGGCUGGGUAAGGUUUGUAGCUCACAGUAAAACCUAAUGACACCAUUUAUUUCCCUACAAAUCCAUACUACAUAUUUUGAAACGUCACCCCUCUUUAGAAGGCAAAUUCUCAAGCUGAAAACUUUUAUCUUGGUACCACAUUGAACACGUUUUAAAGCAUAGGCAAAAUUGCCCUGUAAUGGCCAUGUGCAGCAUGAAUCAAAUACGACUUCUUGUGUGCUACUCACUGUUAUUAGGGCAAAGUCUGUUGUCAGUAAAGAAAGAGUAGCCUCCCUUUCUGUGAAGUUUUUGUAAUCAGGACUUUUAACAUGAGUAAGCUGCCAUUCAUACUGAGAAGGAUAACCAUUACACAAUUACUAGAUGAUGAUAGAUAUUAGAAUGAUCUUAAUUUAAGUGACCUCCUAAGUUCUUCUAUACAUAAAUUCAGGGAAUUACUUGGCCCAACAGGAUAAAUUUGUUAAAUGUUAACCCUAAAUAGGGGGUUCUAAUUACACUAAAGCCCCUCUUAAAAAAGACAUUUUUCCCAAGAAUUAAUGUCAGUUGGAAAAGGGAUUUUUUUUUUUUUUUUUUGCUGCCCUUAAAGGGCUAGUAAAGUCAGUUUCUUACAUGAACAGGAGUGGUUUGCCAGUUUCUUUUCAGAAAAAGGUUGGUUCUGUCUAAAUAAGUAAUGAAUUCCCACAUAGCUUAGAAUUGUUAAAUAAGGUAUUAGCCUUUUCACAUGGUUUUGGUGAAGCACAUUUCCUAAGACAGGAAACACUUUAAAGGCAUUCAUUUUAUCUAUGAAAUAAAGUGGUUUUAUUUAAAUGCAGUUUCAUUGUCAUUUCUGAAAAACAACCGUCUUCAGUUGUAGCACUGGUAAACAAGGAAAUUCUAAGUAGGAAAUGGUUGGGGCAAACUUUUUAACUGAUUUUGUUAAAGUUUGUAGGUUACUGCUUCUAAUGUUAACAUUAAAGUGAAUUUACACUCAUGUUCUAAAGGGAGAGAAAAUUUGUAUGGUAAGAUGAAGCCCAUUUGUUUGGGAACCAAGUAGAAACACAGGCUUGGUUUUAAGCUUUCCAGAGUAAGCUACAAUAUGAAAUACUCCUCUAAAGACUAUCUCCGAGUAACGUCACAAAGUAGUGAAUAAGCAUGGUAAUGUAAGGAUUGUUAGCCUAUCUAAUUUGCAGUUUUAAAGCUUCAUUAUGUUUUACUCUGAUUUUUAAUCAGGUGGUCUGUAAUGGAUUUAAAUGUUUUGUUUGUAGUUCAAUGAAAUGUUUACAGAAAGAUAACUUUUUCAUUAAAAUAUUUUUUAGAAAUGUGUGUGUGGUUUUGUCACUUCACAGUGUUUGUGACUUAAAUGUUUUGGGUAUAUUACAACUUUAGCAUCAGGAAGCUUUGAAAUAUUUUUGAAAGAUGUGGGUUCUAUAAACUGGGAAAUUGGUUAGAAGAAACAGUAUUUUAAAUUAAAAGUCCAGAGUUAACUGCUACUUAAUACUUGUCUGACAGGAUAUUUAGGUUUUAAAAGACAACACAUGAAACCAUUGGGAGGUGGUACAUGUAAGGAGUAAAUAGGCAAGUAAAUACAUGAAACAAGCUGGGAAAGAAAUGGGGCGUGUUAGAAAUGUCUGGUUUCUUGCAAGGCAGUGAGUUAAACAUUUUGUGGUUGAGGGUGAGUAGGGGAAAGAAGCUUACAUGAAAUUGGUCUUAAUCUACCCUGCAAUUUAACCCAAGUAAAAGUUAAAAGAGUGUUUAGUCACCUUAGUGACUGGUUUGAUAAUUUGUGAUUUUUUAAAAUUGUUUUUAUACCGUUGUGUAUGUGGAUUUCUAGCUUAAACUACAUUAAGUAUAUAAAGUGAAAUUAAAAAUUGAAGCCAGGUAAGGAUUUUUAGUUACAUGUUCAAAACGCUGGCUUUUUACCAUAAUACAGUGGUGUCAUGUUCUGCACAAUAAAGUGAUCUUAAGGACUUAAUGAACAUUAAGUCCUAAAGUAAUUUGGCAAGUGUGGACUUCAUUUCCAACAAGAUAUAUUUUCUCAGAAUGGGAAACUUACAAAUUGCCAAAUACUCAAGAAGAUAAAAUUUGAUUUCUCCCAUGUACCCAUCACAACUAUAUUUGAAUUGGGUUUUCUAAAAAUUAAGUGUUUUCUUUGGCAAAAAUGGGAUUCUGUUACACAAUAGGUUGAUUUAGCUUUGGAUUGAAUAUAUAAUGCCAGAUUUGGGGGCAAGUAACAAAACAUGACAUUUCUGUCACACUUAAGAUGUCAACACCAGGUAAUGUUGAGGGUAGAUGUAAUUGCAUGUUCAUGUAGUGUUUAAAUAGUUUUGAAAGCUAAGAAAUAGCAAUUUGCCCAUACUAUUAACAGGGUUUAAAAGUAAUGGAGUUCUGUCAAAUAUUAACUGGCUAUAUCUGGAGGAUAUAAGACAUGAAUAGAAAUGUGCAAAAAAUACCAAGUUUUGAUGGAUUGCAUUUUUUAGUUAGUCUCAGCUGUUUUGUGCCCUUAUUUAAUAAGGAAUGCAGUUCAGUUUUUGAACUUGUAAGUUUUGCUUAUCCAACUUAAAUACAGAAUUUACAGCAAUCUUGUGACUUUGGAUAGGUUCUUUGGAAGUUAUUUAGCUCAUUUCUGGCUGUUUGGUAAUGCUGAGACACCCCCUUAGAAUGGUGAUUUUAUGUGCAUGGAUGUGUGGAAUUAGGUACUGCAAACAAAAUACUUUUUGUGGCAGUAUAAUACACUUUACAUAUUAAACAAGGUUUUGUGGGUCUGCCUUCUAUUUUUGAAGUUCUGACAGUGAUCUAGUUAGUAUUGAUUUAAGCUAAUUACAAGCACUGUGAAUGACUACCCUGUGGCUUGUUGCCAGGAACACUGAAGGGAAUGCUGUUUCAUUACAUGUUAGAAAAAAUAACUUUGCAUCAAAAUUUUAAGAAAAUUCUAAAUUCUAUCCAAGUUAAGAACACUUGCUUUUAUGUAAAAUACAGAUGACAAUCCACCCUUAAAUCUGAAGUUCUAAGUGUGAAAGGCUUAAAGAGUUCAACCUAGCGCCUAAGAAACUAGAAACUACUAAGAUACUAGAAACUACUAAGUUUCUAGUAUCAUUUGGGUAAUAGCAGUUGUCAUAAGAAUGUCCUGUAGUGUAGUAAGUAAAAUUUUAAUGGGAGACUAUGUAGUUAACAAGGGGUUUUUCCUCCACACAGGGAUUGAAGGGUGUUUUUUGUGAUGCUGGGGGUUAAAUUUGGGGUCUAGUUUGUGCUAGUUAGGGAAGCACUCUACCACUCGAGUUGCUGCCCUAGUCCAUUUUGGAGAUGGGGUCCCACAGACUUUGCCCACGCUGGCUUGAAACUCUGAUCCUCCCGAUCUGGGGCUUCCAAGUGGCUAAAUUGCUGGUGCCCAGCUCUUACUGUUUUUUGGGUUUUUUUUUUCCCCCAGUACUGAGGUUUGAACUCAGGGCCUUGUGCCUGGUAGGCACGUGCUCAACCACUUGAGCCAUACCUCCAGCCCCCUAACUGAUAAUUUUAAACACAGUCUACAUAAAGCAGUGAGUUUAGUACUUGAAGUUAGGUUUUAGGUACUAGAAGGUUCUACAGUAAGUUGUUUUGUUUGAACUGUGGGCAAAGUCUUUUGAAAUACAACAAUGCAGAUGAAGUCUGUUUCAUGUGCCCCAGCAUUGUUUGGCCGUCUUUUAUUGGCCAAUCCCACAUGCCUCAAAUGGAACUGUCCCUGCGAUUAUUGUCACCAACCCAUGUACAGUUUUGUCUAAAAGACGCACACUGUGCUCAAGACUUGAGAUUAUAUUCUGAGUUAGAAAAAGUGUCUUCUCCAGGAAUCAUUACCACCACCACUAGAGGAAAUUCCUCCACAGCCUAAGGAAAGUAUUUGGUACAUAGAAAAUAAUCCGAUAUUAAUCCUAGAAUUGUUGGUCCUUAAAGUUUUCCAGUCAUCCGAAUGAAAUUCUUGCUGAGCUAGUUUGAUUUUUUCAUGUGUUGCCCAAAAUGUCAAUACAAGGCUAAAAUAGUUGACAGCGUUUACCGAGAGCUAGAAUAUAGCUCCACUCUGCAGAUGAGGAAACAAGCCUGAGUGCUGAAGUGAGUUGCAGGUUAUUCUAGGAAUUGAUGGGGAAGAGGCUAAGUCUGCUUCUUGCGUUUGUGGGCCUGGACACCAUAAAGGUCUUGGGGGAAUAGUUUACCAUUAAUGCAUAUGCUUAAACACCUUUUAAAUGGCUCCUUUGGCUGACAAAGGGCAAAACAAAUGACUUCCUUAGAUGAUGAAGAGUUGGAGCCAGGCUCUGGUGGCUCACAUCGGUAAUCAGCUACUCUACUCAGGAGGA
Castor canadensis (American beaver) is the source of this 8270-nucleotide non-coding RNA. The record is from RefSeq and is a predicted model, not a curated record. NCBI's taxonomy places the organism in Eukaryota, Metazoa, Chordata, Mammalia, Rodentia, Castoridae.